This is a long non-coding RNA of Lates calcarifer (barramundi perch), 2433 nucleotides long. RefSeq lists it as uncharacterized. The transcript has 4 exons. Lineage: Eukaryota; Metazoa; Chordata; Actinopteri; Centropomidae. The record is from RefSeq and is a predicted model, not a curated record.
GGAGCGUCAUCACCGCGCUUACUCAGUCUCCUAGCAACAGGAAACAUCUGCCUCCGCGAGGACCAAUGAGGGCGCGGGAGGAGCGGUGUGUGCCGUCUCCUGUUGCUGUGAACGGGAUAUUUUAGGAGACUGGAGAGCAGUGAGCGUCUCACCCCGGAGGAGCUGGAGCUGUCUGCCUGUCUGUCUGUCUGUCCGUCUGCGGGAACCGACCGAGGGAGGCUCUGACCUGAAGCCGAACGGGAGCGUCGCUGAAUCGGUGUGAGGACAGUGGAUGUCUCGCCGAGGAGCGAAGGACAUCAACGGAGACAAAGGCUUUGAGUGGGAUUUACUGAGCCGCUGCUGGACGGAAUUAUUUAAAGGAGCCUGAGGGCAAUGUGGAGGCUCAAAUUGGCUCAGACGCACUGAUUCACCCUCCAGUCAGAGAGCUGAGCGCCGGACUGUGGACCGUCAGCAGCAGCAGCCCCUUCCCUGUGAGAGAGAACAAACCAUUCAACAACGUCGAAAGUUGCCUACUUCAAGAGGAAAUAUGCGGAGGAGGAGGAUCUACAUGGAGGCCUACAUGGAUAUUUUCAAAAACACCUGAUACUGCAGGAAGACCGGAGCUGCAUCCUGAAGCUGUCCCUGGAGAAGCUAAGGUUCCUGGAGGACCCUGAGGCCUACCUGCGGCGCUCCGUCCUCAUCAACAACCUGCUGAGGAAGAUCCACCAUGAGGAGGAGGAGCUAGGAGGCCGAGGAGGAGGAAGAAGACGAGGAUGAAGUAGAAGAAGAAGAUGAAGAAGAAGAAGAGGAGGUUAUUGGAGAGAGUGGGCAGCGGAGGCUGAUGUACCCGGACAGGAAGAGAGUGAAGGUGCUGGUGACGGACUGCUGCUCUCCGGCGUUUGGUCUGGAGGACCUUCAGCAUUACCGGCUGGUGCCCUGUUACCCCUCAGCUGGAUGCUUGUACAGCCUGGCAACGUGCCCAGGACUCACCCCCAACCACCAAGUCCUUCUGUACAACCUGGACGACAAUGGCUGACUCUCCAGGCUUCACUGUCAUGCCUCCGUUCACAAAGCUGGGAAAUGCAAACAUGUACUGUUUGUUCACAAUCACCAGGAGGAAAGCUGCUGCUGCUGUUUUCCCUCGGUUUACCACUGAAAACCUUUGGGGGUGGGGGGGGGGGGUCGUGUGUCGUUGGCUCUGUUAUGUUCAUCAGCAGGAUGUUACCUCCUCUCAUCACCUUGCUAAGAGGCAGGAGUGGAUUUAAGAAGCUGAGAAACCCUGAUUCUUCUUCUGCCUCAGGAUCAACAGAGUCUCUGAUGUUGAUGUCAAACUCUGUCCCAGCGUCACUGCCGUUUAGUAUUUGUGCAAAUGUGAGAGACUCUGAGCAGGCAGGAUUUUUUUCUUUGCUGUUGCUGGUAUGUUAAUGAUUUUUAUUGUUACUGUUGCUCAUGUGAACGGUGAGCAUAUUCAGGGAUUUACAAACUGCAGGCUACUAUUUGAUGCACCUUGGCUUGCGUGGAGAAUAUGCGCUGAUAUGCUUCUGUUAUCUUUUUAUUCUACUGUGUGAUUUAUGAAAUAUUCUAUGUAACAUUCCCUGGACUGUGUGAAUUGCCAUGCUGUCUCAAGAUCCUCGUUCUCUGAGGUGCAUUUUCUGCCUGUGGGGAGACUGUUUCUGUCUGUAUUUGACGUCCUGUGUAUGCUGUGAGUAUUUUUCUUUUUGCAUCACUUUGCUGCUCUCUGCUGGUGAAAGAAUUCAUCUUGAAGCCCCUCUUUGUGGCUGAUGUGUUUAAAUUUCACAAUGAAAGUGAAUAAUGAGGAAAAUGGUGACACUUCAAGCCCCAGUGAUGAAACAAGUCAUACUUUGCUUUCUUGUGGAUUUAAAAAAAAGAGGAUGACAUUUCUUCUCUGCUCCUAGAAGUCACAAUAUUUUUUUCUUCCACCAAAUAUUGUUUUUGUGGAUAUAUACUUUUAAUUUUUUUUAAAACAGACUAUCAAAGAGCAGAAUGUCCUUUAAUUGAUUUCAUAUUUAAUAUUUUCCUACUAUCAGUCCUGAAUACAACAGCACAGGAGACUGGGUUUUGUCAGAACAUAUGUUAUUAUUUAAUGCUGCACAAAGUGUGCAUUAUAAAACUGUCUAAUCUGCUGUAUGACAACAGUGAUGAAUGAUUCAUCCCUUCUCAGUGUCUCUUUCUGUACUUUGAGUGUUUGGUCUCUGUCUGGGAGUUUUACUGAGUUUGAAAAUGUGCAUCUUGAUAACAAUCACGACAAUGAAUUAAAAAAAACACACAACAACAAGGCAACUAUUAAAGAGAAGCUUGAUAUUUUAAAACAAGAAUUUAUAUUUUGAUGAAAAUGCAUAUUCCAUAUUUAAGAUGAACUUAUUUUGAAAAAGGGCCAUUAAACUUUUUUUCAGGUGAUUGAUUAUCAAAUAAAGUAUGUAAGGUGACAACGUU